UAGCUGAGGAAAAGGAAACUAACAAGGAUUCCCUUAGUAACGGCGAGUGAAGCGGGAAGAGCUCAAAUUUGAAAUCUUCAAGGUUUUACCUUGACGAAUUGUAGUUUAAAGAAGUGUUUUCUGUUGAAGUUUUGGUAAAAGUUCUUUGGAAUAGGACAUCAUAGAGGGUGAGAAUCCCGUAUUUGACCAUUAUUUUCAGCUGUGUGAUACACUUUCAAAGAGUCGGAUUGUUUGGGAAUGCAGUCCAAAAUGGGUGGUAAAUUUCAUCUAAAGCUAAAUAUUGGCGAGAGACCGAUAGCGAACAAGUACCGUGAGGGAAAGAUGAAAAGAACUUUGAAAAGAGAGUUAAACAGUACGUGAAAUUGUCAAAAGGGAAGCGUUUGACACCAGUGUUGUUUUCUCGAAAAUCAAUUAAAAAGAGUUGGAUUUUGUGUUGUAUUGACCUUAACAGCUUGCUUCACUCUUUUCCUGCUUUUUUUAAUGCACUUUUCGUUUAACAAGUCAACAUCAGUUUCUUUUGUUGUAAAAGGGUCAUUGGAAGGUGGCUUUCUCUUCGGAGAAAGUGUUUAUAGCCUUUGAUCUCUGCAAUCGGAGAGACUGAGGUCUGCAGCGUAGAUCCUUCGGGGUUAGAUACAUUUGUGCUAAGCUACAGCUUUUCAUAGACAACUUGUUGACUAUGUUUAGUCUUGUGACUUACCCGCUUAUGCUAUUUUACCUACGCUUAGGAUGUUGACAAAAUGGUUUUAAACGACCCGUCUUUGAAAACAANANACACCCAAAA
Molecule: ribosomal RNA, 781 nt
Filed under: Piromyces sp. 5 GRL-6
Lineage: Eukaryota; Fungi; Neocallimastigomycota; Neocallimastigomycetes; Neocallimastigales; Neocallimastigaceae
Description: LSU rRNA
Rfam family: Eukaryotic large subunit ribosomal RNA
Source: RNAcentral